AUUGAACGCUGGCGGCAGGCCUAACACAUGCAAGUCGAACGGUAACAGGAAGACGCUUGCUUCUUUGCUGACGAGUGGCGGACGGGUGAGUAAUGUCUGGGAAACUGCCUGAUGGAGGGGGAUAACUACUGGAAACGGUAGCUAAUACCGCAUAACGUCGCAAGACCAAAGAGGGGGACCUUCGGGCCUCUUGCCACCGGAUGUGCCCAGAUGGGAUUAGCUAGUAGGUGGGGUAACGGCUCACCUAGGCGACGAUCCCUAGCUGGUCUGAGAGGAUGACCAGCCACACUGGAACUGAGACACGGUCCAGACUCCUACGGGAGGCAGCAGUGGGGAAUAUUGCACAAUGGGCGCAAGCCUGAUGCAGCCAUGCCGCGUGUAUGAAGAAGGCCUUCGGGUUGUAAAGUACUUUCAGCGGGGAGGAAGGGAGUAAAGUUAAUACCUUUGCUCAUUGACGUUACCCGCAGAAGAAGCACCGGCUAACUCCGUG
This 490-nucleotide ribosomal RNA is filed under the name uncultured bacterium. RNAcentral's name for it is "partial 16S ribosomal RNA". It matches the Rfam family "Bacterial small subunit ribosomal RNA", at positions 30 to 507 of the family's 1533-position model. The record is from RNAcentral.